Molecule: long non-coding RNA, 443 nt
Filed under: Monodelphis domestica (gray short-tailed opossum)
Lineage: Eukaryota; Metazoa; Chordata; Mammalia; Didelphimorphia; Didelphidae
Description: lncRNA (ENSMODG00000044216.1)
Source: RNAcentral
CUAUCAGAGAACCAGCAACUGGAAUUAAUAACAGAGUCUGUCAGUAGCUACAGCAGCCCAGUCCAGUGAAGACACCAUGAAGAAGAACAAUCUGUUUGAUCUGCCUCAUCAAAGAGCCAGCCCAGGCCAAGCUAGAUGAAAGCUAGAAAAAAGCAAGAAAGGAGAAAAAGUGGGAGUCAAGAGGAGAAAGAAGAAGACAGUGAAGAAAGAAGGAAGCAGGAGAAGAAGCAAGCAAGUUUUCACUUGUGAAUGAAUAGAUCUGCUGAUUGGGCUUAAUUUCCAACAUUUUGGGAAGCUGGAAUGUAGGUGGAGAAGGUAGAAUGGCUCCAAAGAACAUUAACAAGGGAGGCUGAUCAUCGACUUCCAGGCAAGCAGGAGAGGGGAACCCCCCCCCCAAAAAAAACAGUGAAAUUGGCCUCUCCAUUCAUUCCACAGGCUCAGGU